UAUGUGUCCUGCCUCUCUGCUCCCAGCCGUUAAGAGGCCAGUGUUGAUCAGUGGCUGUCCAGGCCUUUCAGAGCCACUGACACGCCAGCAGCACAAUGAUGAUGUCACUGAUUCUACUGCUGGCCACCCUGGGGCUCCUUGUUCAGGAUUCAUCAGGAGAAAUCAUCCUGACUCAGUCUCCUGAAUCUCAGUCUGUUGUUCCAGGACAGGCUGUCUCUAUCAGAUGUAAAGCCAGUUCAAGUGUUGGUACUUGCCUCAACUGGUACCUUCAGAAACCUGGAGAAGCUCCCAAACUCCUGAUUUAUUAUUCUACAACUCAUCAGUCUGGAGUUUCAGAUCGUUUUAGUGGAAGUGGAUCUGGGACUGACUUCACUCUGACCAUCAGUGGAGUCCAGACUGAAGAUACAGGAGAUUAUUAUUGUCAGCACUGUAACAGCUGGCCAUUCACAAAGUGAUUCAACGUCGUACAAAAACCUCCCUCUUCUAGAGAGGAACUGAUCUGAACGAACAGCUGCACAGAAAUUAAAACACUACAGGAUUGAUUAACAUAUAUUUUAUGGUAGACCACAA
Molecule: non-coding RNA, 570 nt
Organism: Siniperca chuatsi (mandarin fish)
Lineage: Eukaryota; Metazoa; Chordata; Actinopteri; Centrarchiformes; Sinipercidae
Source: the annotation of a RefSeq genome assembly